Molecule: ribosomal RNA, 179 nt
Filed under: uncultured bacterium
Lineage: Bacteria
Description: partial 16S ribosomal RNA
Rfam family: Bacterial small subunit ribosomal RNA
Source: RNAcentral
AAGCUGGAAUCGCUAGUAAUCGCGAAUCAGAAUGUCGCGGUGAAUACGUUCCCGGGUCUUGUACACACCGCCCGUCACACCAUGGGAGUCGGAAAUGCCCGAAGUCAGUGACCUAACCGAAAGGGAGGAGCUGCCGGAAGGUGGAGCCGGUAACUGGGGUGAAGUCGUAACAAGGUACC